This 797-nucleotide ribosomal RNA is filed under the name uncultured Glomeromycotina. RNAcentral describes it as "SSU rRNA". It matches the Rfam family "Eukaryotic small subunit ribosomal RNA", at positions 314 to 1114 of the family's 1831-position model. The record is from RNAcentral. Lineage: Eukaryota; Fungi; Glomeromycota.
AUCAACUUUCGAUGGUAGGAUAGAGGCCUACCAUGGUGGUAACGGGUAACGGGGUGUUAGGGCACGACACCGGAGAGGGAGCCUGAGAAACGGCUACCACAUCCAAGGAUGGCAGCAGGCGCGCAAAUUACCCAAUCCCGACACGGGGAGGUAGUGACAAUAAAUAACAAUACGGGGUCCUUUCGGGUUUCGUAAUUGGAAUGAGUACAAUUUAAAUCUCUUAACGAGGAACAAUUGGAGGGCAAGUCUGGUGCCAGCAGCCGCGGUAAUUCCAGCUCCAAUAGCGUAUAUUAAAGUUGUUGCAGUUAAAAAGCUCGUAGUUGAAUUUCGGGACUAGUACGCUGGUCGUGCCUUCGGUAUGUACUGGUGUUACUGGUUCCUACCUUCCGACGAACCGUCAUGUCAUUAAUUUGGUGUGGCGGGGAAUCAGGACUGUUACUUUGAAAAAAUUAGAGUGUUUAAAGCAGGCUCGCGCUUGAAUACAUUAGCAUGGAAUAAUGAAAUAGGACGUUCGAUCCUAUUUUGUUGGUUUCUAGGAUUGACGUAAUGAUUAAUAGGGAUAGUUGGGGGCAUUAGUAUUCAAUUGUCAGAGGUGAAAUUCUUGGAUUUAUUGAAGACUAACUACUGCGAAAGCAUUUGCCAAGGAUGUUUUCAUUAAUCAAGAACGAAAGUUAGGGGAUCGAAGACGAUCAGAUACCGUCGUAGUCUUAACCAUAAACUAUGCCGACUAGGGAUCGGAUGAUGUUAUUUUUAAUGACUCAUUCGGCGCCUUACGGGAAACCAAAGUGUUUGGGUUC